This 478-nucleotide ribosomal RNA is filed under the name uncultured bacterium. RNAcentral describes it as "bacterial SSU rRNA". It matches the Rfam family "Bacterial small subunit ribosomal RNA", at positions 364 to 834 of the family's 1533-position model. The record is from RNAcentral.
UUGGACAAUGGGGGCAACCCUGAUCCAGCAAUGCCGCGUGUGUGAAGAAGGCCUUCGGGUUGUAAAGCACUUUUGUCCGGAAAGAAAUGGCGCUGGUUAAUACCCGGCGUCGAUGACGGUACCGGAAGAAUAAGCACCGGCUAACUACGUGCCAGCAGCCGCGGUAAUACGUAGGGUGCGAGCGUUAAUCGGAAUUACUGGGCGUAAAGCGUGCGCAGGCGGUUUGAUAAGACAGGCGUGAAAUCCCCGAGCUCAACUUGGGAAUGGCGCUUGUGACUGUCAGGCUAGAGUAUGUCAGAGGGGGGUAGAAUUCCACGUGUAGCAGUGAAAUGCGUAGAGAUGUGGAGGAAUACCGAUGGCGAAGGCAGCCCCCUGGGACGUCACUGACGCUCAUGCACGAAAGCGUGGGGAGCAAACAGGAUUAGAUACCCUGGUAGUCCACGCCCUAAACGAUGUCAACUAGUUGUUGGGGAUUCAU